Molecule: ribosomal RNA, 228 nt
Filed under: uncultured bacterium
Lineage: Bacteria
Description: partial 16S ribosomal RNA
Rfam family: Bacterial small subunit ribosomal RNA
Source: RNAcentral
CGGGUGAGUAAUGUAUGGGGAUCCGCCCGAUAGAGGGGGAUAACUACUGGAAACGGUGGCUAAUACCGCAUAAUGUCUACGGACCAAAGCAGGGGCUCCUCGGACCUUGCACUAUCGGAUGAACCCAUAUGGGAUUAGCUAGUAGGUGGGGUAAAGGCUCACCUAGGCGACGAUCUCUAGCUGGUCUGAGAGGAUGAUCAGCCACACUGGGACUGAGACACGGCCCAG